Molecule: ribosomal RNA, 588 nt
Filed under: uncultured bacterium
Lineage: Bacteria
Description: bacterial SSU rRNA
Rfam family: Bacterial small subunit ribosomal RNA
Source: RNAcentral
CCUACGGGAGGCAGCAGUGGGGAAUCUUGCGCAAUGGGGGAAACCCUGACGCAGCAACGCCGCGUGGGUGAUGAAGGCCUUCGGGUCGUAAAGCCCUGUCAGGUGGGAAGAAACUUGUGGAUGUUAAUACCAUCCAUGCUUGACGGUACCACCGGAGGAAGCACCGGCUAACUCCGUGCCAGCAGCCGCGGUAAUACGGAGGGUGCAAGCGUUGUUCGGAAUUAUUGGGCGUAAAGCGCGUGUAGGUGGUCGUGUAAGUCAGAUGUGAAAGUCUUCUGCUUAACAGAAGAAGUGCAUUUGAAACUGCCGCUCUUGAGUGCGGGAGAGGGAAGCGGAAUUUCCAGUGUAGAGGUGAAAUUCGUAGAUAUUGGAAGGAACACCGGUGGCGAAGGCGGCUUCCUGGACCGUUACUGACGCUGAGACGCGAAAGCGUGGGGAGCAAACAGGAUUAGAUACCCUGGUAGUCCACGCAGUAAACGAUGAGCACUAGGUGUUGCGGGUAUCGACCCCUGCAGUGCCGAAGCAAACGCAUUAAGUGCUCCGCCUGGGGAUUACGGUCGCAAGACUAAAACUUAAAGGAAUUGACGG